UGGCGGAUGGGUGAGUAACGCGUGGGUAACCUGCCUUACACAGGGGGAUAACAACCGGAAACGGUUGCUAAAACCGCAUGAAGUAUGAACAUCGCAUGAUGAUCAUAUUAAAUAUUUAUAGGUGUAAGAUGGGCCCGCGUCUGAUUAGCUAGUUGGUGGGGUAAUAGCCUACCAAGGCGAUGAUCAGUAGCCGGCUUGAGAGAGUGACCGGCCACAUUGGGACUGAGACACGGCCCAAACUCCUACGGGAGGCAGCAGUGGGGAAUCUUGCACAAUGGGCGAAAGCCUGAUGCAGCGACGCCGCGUGAGUGAAGACGUACUUCGGUAUGUAAAGCUCUAUCAGCAGGGACGAUAAUGACGGUACCUGACUAAGAAGCCCCGGCUAACUACGUGCCAGCAGCCGCGGUAAUACGUAGGGGGCAAGCGUUAUCCGGAUUUACUGGGUGUA
RNAcentral lists this ribosomal RNA (448 nucleotides) under uncultured bacterium. Its description in RNAcentral is "bacterial SSU rRNA". It matches the Rfam family "Bacterial small subunit ribosomal RNA", at positions 96 to 562 of the family's 1533-position model. The record is from RNAcentral.